GUGGUCACUUUAGAAGCUUAUAUAGUAAUGAUUGGAAAGAUACAGAUGAGAUUAGCAUGGGCCCUGUGCAAUGAAGACAUGCAAAUUUGUGAAAUGUUCCACACUAAA
Small nuclear RNA from Cricetulus griseus (Chinese hamster), 108 nucleotides. The record is from Ensembl. Lineage: Eukaryota; Metazoa; Chordata; Mammalia; Rodentia; Cricetidae.